CGGUGACAAGUCAUAGCGACUCAUGUUCCCUCCCUGCCCGGAUGCGUCUGGCCGCCGAUGGCCGCUGUCCAUAGCAUGGGCUGCUCGAAGGCGCUGAAACGUUUACAAAUGCGGGAAACCUGCCGUAUAAGGCGGAACUCUUGCAGUGCCUAGCAUAUAUAUGAUUGGCUUGAUCCCCAUGCUGUUAAACUGGCUAUGUGUAUAGCUAAGGGCCUGGGCAAGACCGGUUGCCAGCCCGCCUGCUGGUAACAUUGGCGGCCCCAGAGGUGAUCCAUUAUUAUUGGGACGUAAAGGGUCCCGUAGCCCCAUUUGAUCAGGUCGUUUUGGGAAAUUUGACCGCUCAACAUGAUAGGCAUGCUAAGGGAAACUGACUAAACAUUGGGACCGGGGAGAGGACAAGAUGGGUACCCACAAGGGUAGGAGCUGAAAUUCAUUGCUAAUCCAUUGAUGGGACCUACCUAGAUGGCUCAAGUGCGUCAUUACCUAGAAACUGGCGUUCCGACUUGAUGAGGU
Molecule: ribosomal RNA, 513 nt
Filed under: uncultured Methanosarcinales archaeon
Lineage: Archaea; Methanobacteriati; Methanobacteriota; Methanomicrobia; Methanosarcinales
Description: partial 16S ribosomal RNA
Source: RNAcentral